GACGAACGCUGGCGGCGUGCCUAAUACAUGCAAGUAGAACGCUGAAGGAGGAGCUUGCUUCUCUGGAUGAGUUGCGAACGGGUGAGUAACGCGUAGGUAACCUGCCUGGUAGCGGGGGAUAACUAUUGGAAACGAUAGCUAAUACCGCAUAAUAGUAGAUGUUGCAUGACAUUUGCCUAAAAGUUGCAAUUGCAUCACUACCAGAUGGACCUGCGUUGUAUUAGCUAGUUGGUGGGGUAACGGCUCACCAAGGCGACGAUACAUAGCCGACCUGAGAGGGUGAUCGGCCACACUGGGACUGAGACACGGCCCAGACUCCUACGGGAGGCAGCAGUAGGGAAUCGUCGGCAAUGGACGGAAGUCUGACCGAGCAACGCCGCGUGAGUGAAGAAGGUUUUCGGAUCGUAAAGCUCUGUUGUAAGAGAAGAACGAGUGUGAGAGUGGAAAGUUCACACUGUGACGGUAUCUUACCAGAAAGGGACGGCUAACUACGUG
This 495-nucleotide ribosomal RNA is filed under the name uncultured bacterium. RNAcentral describes it as "partial 16S ribosomal RNA". It matches the Rfam family "Bacterial small subunit ribosomal RNA", at positions 28 to 507 of the family's 1533-position model. The record is from RNAcentral.